Nematostella vectensis (starlet sea anemone) is the source of this 8410-nucleotide RNA transcript. RefSeq lists it as uncharacterized. NCBI's taxonomy places the organism in Eukaryota, Metazoa, Cnidaria, Anthozoa, Actiniaria, Edwardsiidae. The transcript has 4 exons. The record is from RefSeq and is a predicted model, not a curated record.
GCGCGCCAGGUCUAUCUUGGUCUACCCAUACGUCCCUGGAGUCAGAUUUUGGCGCCAUAUCGAAUAUCGUCCCUCAAAGAGUGGAUAAGAUCAGAGCGAAUUCUAGUUUGCUUUGAUUUCCUCUUCAAAUAUACCUUUGGUACCAGAGGCUCGGGCUUCACUUGUUUACUGUCACGCCGUUCUUGGCUACUUUGGUGCCCAGGGUACUUAAAAUACUCAGCUUUUCGCGUUUAUUGGCUAGCGAAGAACGGGAUGCGUAUAGUUUUAGUCUGCAUCUUUUUAGGGUGCUUUGAAUGACAAAGCCAACCGACCAAGUUCAAGAAACACGUUUUUGACUAACCCAGUCAUUGGGAUAAUGCUGUUGGAAUACGCUAAUAGCGAUGCAAGCCCUAAACAGUCAAAGAUCAUUUUACAUGGAAUCCUCUGAAAUCAUUGUUGGAACGUGGAAUAGCUCGUCUACUCAGUUCAAAAGAGUCCUUCGCAAAAUUUAUUUUCCAGAGCAGAUUGUGAGACGGUAUCAUGGCAGCACCACCUCCAUCUGUCAUCCUUCUUUCCCAGGCUGGCCCUUUCACACGCACCAGGAGUCCCUUCUGCAUGAGAUCAUCUCCAAAACACCAUCUGCUAAACAGGUUCGACGCAGUUCUUGACGAGAGACGUGACUUCGAUGAAGGUGCUGAGGGUUGUUCACCUCAAGCAGCGACUGUUGAGUGUUGAUAAGAUUACGAGCGUUUCGUGUCCGAGUCCAUCUUGAACUACGAUCUUUAGAGUGAGAUAAAACAACUGUUGAAGUGGACCUGUUCUCAGGUCCUGGGUUCAGUUUGAAAACUAGAUCACCUUCAAGAGGGAGGUGAAAGGUGGCACUUGUAUUGUUAUAAUACAUGCAAGGGCAUUUCUGUCUUCUGAUUCGUGCUCUUGAGCAGAAAACCAGUCGAGUGGAGCAACGCCCACUCGCAAUUGUGGUUGUUUGUGUGGUUGAAGCUUCAGGUGUGGUGGCAAUUAGGGUGGUGUUUGGUGUUAAAGAUUCAGGUGUGGUGGCACUUAGGUGGUCUGUGUGGUUAAUGAUGAAGGGCAAUUGGAGGGGAUUGUGUGGUUGAAGUAUCAGUUGUGCUGGCAAUUGGAGGGGUUUGCGUAGUUGCAGAUGUUUUGACAAUGGGUAUGGUUUGCACAGCAGCUGUGAUUGUUUGCGGAGUAGGUGUGGGUGUGUUAGUGUGGGAGAGUAGAUCUAAUAUACGAUGAUGUGUGGUUUCCAUGUUGUUAAUUUUAUCCAGAAGUACACCUAUAGCUGCAUCGCAGCAGCUUUUUUUUUUAGAAAGGAGCAGCAGCUUCUCCUCACAGCUUUCAGAGGGAAGGGUCAUAUUGUUGAUAUUAUCUAUUUUUCCUGAUUUGGGGAUAAAGUUAGGGGGUCGGGGGUACUUGUUGUAUUUGGUGUAGAUCUUCUGGGCUUGGCAGCAUGCAAUCUUCAAUUAGUUUGAUGUAUCCAUCUUCCUGCCUCAUCAAACUUAGCUUGUCAUCUAAAAAGAUACAAAAUGUAGUGUUAGAUCUCACUCAGUCAAUAACUUUGUUUAUGGUUAGUUAUUGAUAUUUCCUUGAUACUUCCUAUUUUGAUUCACAUUUUUGUUUUCUUUAAGAGAUAAUUUCUAAAUGUGUUGGCCUGUCUAUGUCUGUCUUUCCUAUAAAACAGGUUCCUAGAAAUAUUGCUGUUUCUCGACUGCUUUUGGGCUUUUUCUAGUGCAUCUCAAAUUGAACAAGGCAAAAUCAUACACAUCAGUCAAACUUCCAGACUCCUGAUUGUUGUUGAGUGCAAUCGAGCAUUCUUUUAAAAGACAGGAAAUGGGCUGGAUUGGACACGAACAAAACAUUAUAAAAACCUGACCAUGGAAACAUUUGAAAAAUGAAUCUCCUAAAUUGCCUAAAUAAUAUUAGUCAUAUCAAAUAAUUAAUAAACAUUAAUUGGUACAUUUAUGGCACUUGUUUGAAGACAAAAAGAAAAUUGAAUAGAAAAACUCUUUUAAUUCUUGGAUUACACUGGCCAUAUAUUCUAUGAUAGCAAAAAUUGGCUUCUAUUUUCAAAUAAGAUAGCUUGCUAUCAGCUUGUGUUCAUGGUUAUUUGGAAAUGUUUUGCGUUUUCCAACUGUCAGCCUUUGUGUGUGUAUGUAUAUUAUUAUGCAAUUAUAUGUUAAAAAAUGUAAGUUAAAUUAAAUUACAAGUUUAAAUAUCAUUCAAAUACAAAUGGGAUUUUGGAAUUUUAUGGUGACAUUUCAGGAGGCCAUUUCAGUGCUGUAUGGUCAACAUAUCAGUCCCCUCAAGUCAUUUCUUGCGAUUUAUACAGACAUCUCAUUUCUUGUGCCUCCGAAAACAAUAUUCUAUACCUUGAAAGGUUAAAUGUUAGCUCCCAUAAGGACUAUUUUUUAUCAAGAAUGACAAGUUUUGCUCAUCACAAUCAAUGUUUUGAUCUCAAUAGGAAAAAAGCGUUCCAAAAAAUCACUUUGAACAAUUAAGAAACCUUGAAGAUACAUAGCGAGAAAAAAGGCCAUUGUGCUUGAAUACUGUGCCUUAAUAUUGGAGAGAAAAAUCUUAAUAAUUAAUUAUAAGUAAUUUUGAAAACAUACCUUGAUUCGAUGAGAAAACGCCUGGUAACGUUUUACCAUUCUAACCUUAGAUAGGUCUUUACACAUUUCAGUCGAGGGCGCAGAUUGGCAUAUACUAACACGUGCGGUGAUUGGCUUGUCUAAAACAAAAGCCUGAGGUCGAUCGGCAGAAUGAAAAACACGCUCUAAUCGAAAGUUGACAGAGCCGUCACUGAAAUUCGUUGGUACCGGCUCUCUACGUUCAGGUAGGAAUGAAAACCUUUGAAAAGGAUAUGCUACUUUCGCUAAACGAUAGUGAAAGAACAAUAGCAAGAAAUCGACCGAGGGGACACAUUACACUGUCAACAAAUCCUAUCGCAAAAUAACAAGGAAUAGCGAGUAGAAUACAAAUUAACCGUAAGACACAAAACCUGUGUUUUCAUACCUGCCACUGCCAACACCUUGGUUCUAUAGGUCUUUCUUGACCAAUUUACUUUAGUGUACUCCCCAACACGCAUCUCCUCCUCAGCCUGGCUGCUUUUGACCACGCCGACUUCUUUGGUAGAAAUGAAAAGAACAAGACCAUACGGCGGCCACAUCUUGUAGGACUAAUAAUAAUAAUAAUAAUAAUAAUAAUAAUAAUAAUCUUUAUUGCCUUAGAUAAAUCAACAUGUCUAAGUUUACAAAAUGUAGGAGAAACCGAUUAUAAGUAAAUGCGCUACAUCAAUUAUAUGUCACUAUAUUUAAAGACAAGCCUAUUGACAAAAGUAUUUUUGAAUCGCUCUGAGUGAACCCUAGGAUAAAUCACAUUUCUUUUUCUGAGGUUGUAUUUUUGGUCUUUUUUCUUAGGCAGGAUUUUGCUCAGAGGAUAUUCAGGUUGAAUGACUCACCGGCGUUCAGUCGUCUCGACAUUGUAAGUGAACAAGGGCGAGUGAACAACAAGACAGAGCAACAAUUUAUGCUUAAGCUUUUAAGUAUUCAAAGCAAAAGACUACAUCGGAAAGUAGAUUUAAGUAGUUACUAAGAACAAAUUUUAUUAAACUUUGAUUUUUUAUUUUGUUGUGAAUUAGCAUUUGUUGAGAAUAAAGUGAUGAUGAUGCUAGAAUCUAUAGCAUUUGUUGAGAAUAAAGUGAUGAUGAUGCUACAAUCUAUAGCAAACUUCAUAUUUGCGUUAUAUUUGCUAGAUCUUCAAAAGCUACCUUUACACUACAUUUGCUGUAGAUGCAAAGUUGAAGAAAAUAUGGAGCACCAAAUUUGGAUCACAUUUGCUCAACUAACAAACUUGAGCAAAUCAUUUUUUCGCCCAGUGUUUACAGCCAAGCCACCAUACAGAAGCUCGAAAUUCUUACAGAAUUUCAUAAGAAGAUAGUCCCCUUUCCUGACGUCAUCCAAAGUGAUGUAUGGUUUCACCAAAGUGCUGCAAGCCAUGACAAAGGUUUGCAAGCACUUGAGAUCCUCUUCAGGCAAAAGACCAUUCAAACAGUAUAUGGAAUACACCAUUGUCCAGUUUUUCCACUCGUCAGCUGUAAAAGAACCGUAGUUCGAAGAUAUUUUUGAAGGGAUUCUUCCAACCUCAGUCAGUACACAUAGACAAAAUUCUCUCAUCAACUUUCGCUAAGUCCUGGUUGGUGAGCCUUUCAUUAUCAAGCAAUAGCUUAAACAUUGACUUCGCUGUUCCAAGAAAAAGGUUGUGCAUGGGGUCAAUUGCACAAAAACAAGUCCAAUAGUUUGGUAUAGCGAACCACAAGUUGACUCUUAAGUUUCCUCUGUUCUGCAGUGCUACGAGCUCGUGAGAGUUGACGAACUCUUCUUCUCUGCUCCACAUUUGUGCGAAUGUUCCAAUUCUCCCUAUCAAACCCAGAGUAGUCCCUUUUCUCUCCGAACCCUCCAGGAAAUGAUUUAAAGCAGCGAGAGCAGCCAAGUUUUGCAGAAUGCCCUACAAAUCCACAAAGCUUCCUUGAUGCUGGUAUGUCGGACGAAGCCCAGAGUAAAGCAGCACGAAACUUCAGUGAAAACAAAGGAGAGAUGCUUGAAACAAAACUAAGGCCACUCCGAAGUGCGUUUAGUUCAUCUACAAGUGGACAUAGGAACUGGUUGAGUGAAGCUGGUUCCUUUGAAAGAGCUGGGAUGAUCCCAACUAGGAAAAUGUUUUCACGCUUGAACCGUUCCUCCCUUAGGUAGGUUCAUUAAAACUAAAUAAGUAACUCCAACAGAAAAAAUCAGAGCGUCUCUUAUAUGGCUGGAACCAGUCACAGUUCAUCAUAAAACCAUAAUUCCUCUCUUUGCUCAGAAAUGGUUGCCCCUUGUAGUCGAGAAACUCUAUCCAGACUGCACCUUCAUAAAUGUCUCCUAAAUCCCCACAGCAUCCACGGUCCGGUCUCUCCACUGUUCACACUUUUGAACCAUGCCACUCCUUUUGACAAAUCUCUCUAGUGUUUCGAUGAUGCUAUUAAAGCAGUAUACCUUUAAAGGGUAGAAUACCUGUGUGUUGUUUGUCAACACCACUUUCUUUACUAGCUGAUGCCCACAUUCUCGCAUCUGACGCCUGUGUCGGACAGCAUUUGUGCAUCUGCGUGCUACUUGGUUGCCGUUGACAAUGAUUGUGCAUUGUUCUGGCUUGUAGAGCUUCGUGCAUUUAGGGCAGACCACAUAACGCUGGAAUGCAUCUCUGUCCAGUCGCAGGUACUUUCGCAUUAGGUAUAGUGUCCCAGGGAAAACACUUGCAACUUGCAACUUGCAACUUGAUUGCAUCCCAAGAACAUUGAGAAACCUUGACAGGAAUUGUAGGAGCCACUCCAGCCCAUUAUCACUGAGAUGGCAGCUUGUCUGCCAAACAAGCAAGAAGUACAGCAUCCAGGUUACCAGAGCUUUCUGGUUACUCAUUACUGUGCCAAGACACAUCUGAUAAAUUCCAAAUGCACCCAUUUGACCAUUGACUGUAUCUCAUAACUGAAUAGCAUACCCCUGUAGUUUCAGAACUUGAAAAAUCAUCAUCUUGUAUGCUUGAUAUUGGAUCAUGAUCAGAUGAAACAGCCUCCUCUCUAGUAAUUUCUAAAUUAGUGAUGAUAAGUUAGCCAUAGAAAUAUUGUUGUUGUGGGGUGAAUUAUAUUAGAAGCGUUGAGGCCACAUAUACAAGUUUGUGUUUCAUGGGCUCAGUCACUAAACAUAUGGGUAUUAACUCUUUACUUCUCAGUAUUUAUAGAGUGAACAAACUAUUUAUAUUCAGUGAGUUCUUGUUUUGACAAAAUUGUGUCGUUUUGUAUUAUUCCAAAAUCAGUUCCAGUUGUUAUUUAUUUCCUUGUAGUAAAGUUUGCUCUCAAAAUGCUUUUAACUGUUAAUUAUUAGACAACUUAUAUUGGAGUAAAUGUUCUCUCAUAAAUAUAAGGUUUUGAAAGAUUUAGUGUAGAAUCGCAAAGUUUUGUUCAAAGGCAAAUGCACAUGGCUUUGUAAACAAAGGCCGCGCCAGAAAAAAUCCAAAACUGCCCACAAGUGAUAUUGUAGGAUUCUAGUCUGCUAAACAGCCAAUAAGAGCGUGCGUACCAUCGUAGACAUAAUAAAAUUGGAUAUUCUGUGUAUUGUGGGUCAGCUUAGGCAUAGGAACUGGUCCCUGGUGGAUAUAGUUCAACUAAUUGCUGUUAGUUUGACACACUGCGUAUUAUUUGGAUUGGUCACGGUUGUGCAAAAUCUGUCUAUAAUUGGGCCACUUAAAUGUUGAACGUUGCUAAAAAAAAAACCUCUAGAGACCCAAAUAUGAUGCAGUAAAACACCAAAACUAAAUCCUCCUUAACCCCAGUGAAAUUCAAUCCAUCCUUCCGUGAGUAUAUUUUCGAAAAUACAAAGCUGCUAAGUAAGAUAUUUCAGUAUUCAAAAUAAUCACAAAUUGUGUCAUGCAAAACGGAUCCAGAGCAUUUGUCAGACCCAAGGAAUAAUCUGGUAUAACUGAAAUCUUCUUACCAGUAAUGAAAGGUUCCUGAGCUUCGUCAUUUUCAUCAGAAUCAGAAAACUUUUCAUUGGAAACAUCUGGAUCUCCUUGUGCAUGAGAUGGUGUUCCUGGCAGUGGGGCUGGCUGUAACUUCACGCAACUCCUGUAUUUCGCAUGCUGAUAUCGAGAUCGGUAAGAGAGUUUUACACAGCAAAAUCUACAUGGACGUCUCUCACUUUUCUUGAAGCCCUUAUUCCUUCGUACACUUGGCAUUUUGCGCGAAAAUUACGUUUCGAAACAAUAUGAUUAACUGUAUAAUUUGACUAUGUAGAGAGUUGUAUUCGUAUUUUGAAGUAGCGGUGUUGAAGUGUGAGUUUUUGAGCCCGCGAUCCUCGUCACCUUGAAACCGUUUGUGUUACACCGUCACGUGACUGCGCGGCGGGCUUUUCGCGGGGUCUGUUUAUCGUCACGUCAGUAGCAGCACCGUGAGUUUGGCGACAGAUCUCAGCUGACACUUCUCUCUUGAAUUCACCGUUUGAAUCCGCGCUAUAAUCUCGAUCUCGAUAACGAUGGCAGUAAACCCAAUGGGAAACUCCGCCGAUGAGAACAUGGCGCUUAUUUUACAACAAGUUUUGAAACCGACGACUACAUGAGAGAAUGGAAGAGUUGACGUCUCAACAAGAAGAGCGGAGUUCGGCUUGUCAAAAUCCUCUGAAACGUCGCCGGAGAGCAGCUUCCAAAGACUGUCAGGCAGCAAUUAUUCAUUAUUUAUUACUUUUGGUAACUUUUAGUAAGUUUUUAAAGAAAAAAACCCGUUGAUUCUAGUCGGAUAGUAGUAGUUGUUUUCACACAUUCAUCCUUCGCUUCAGAUAACCAAAGGUCACCGUAUCCGCUGUAUGGUGUCGUAUUCUACGCAGCUUACAUCAUUUGAUUUACAUCGAUAUGACUUACGGUUCACUUGCAAUACUGUACUGGCAAUGUUCUUCUUUACAAGUUUAACAUUUAACUUUUUUCGUAAGCUUUUGGUGUCUUUUGGGAGCAACUACAGUAACUACAGCAUACAGGACUUCACACCUCGAUUUCUAUAGAACGAGGCAGUAAGAAUACAAUGGAAAUGCAAAUAUGUACCCUGUUUGACUCAACUUUGCAAUUUGACAAUCUUGUCACAGAAUUUGGCAUGGUUGAAUUCAGCUUGGAUUUGAAAUCAUCAAUACAUAUUUUUAAAUUCGGCUUGGUCUUUUCUUGGAUUCUUUGAUUCAACAUAUUUCUAAAAUGCAGUCACGUGCAUUUUUUGGUGCCAAACUUUCGCGCUCAGGCUUUUGGUAGCCUGCGUACAUCCGGUUUCAAAUAUUUAUUUUCCUGUCUGCGCGUUACAGAAUUCUAAAACCAGAUCCACACAGGCUAGCUUUUGGCGGCAACAAUAACAAAAAUCAACUUAUUCAGCGUUUUCUGAUCAGUUAUCUUCAUUGGACAGACCAGACCCACUGGUCCGUACUUGAAGAUAUAUUUUUGGUCAAUCUCCGGUGUGAUGACCACAGACAUUUCUAUGUUUGUUUUGAUAUGAUGAGUUUGCCACCCAAAAAGUCACAUUAUCUUAAUUUGUCUGCCCUUGUAGCACAAUUACCUUUCUCUUUGUCUAUUUUAAUUAUUUUAUUCUUAUGUUCGUCUCUUCAUAAAUAUGGUAGUCUGUAGCAACUGUCCUUGCAAUAAGAUUUAACACUGCAAAGUUGGUAAGUUAAUCCUUGUUUAGCUUUUGAGAAUAAUGUUGUAUAAAUAACUGUUACAGUGUCGGCACGAAGAAGAUGAAGGACUGCGUUUCUCUGGAUUUGAAUUUCAAGAGAGGUACUCAUACAGGCAGCCCAAGGCUACUGUCAAUAGUUUAUAAAGCCAACGGAAUGUGUGGGGGAAUUUAUAUGUUAGC